RNAcentral lists this unclassified non-coding RNA (376 nucleotides) under uncultured Parachlamydiaceae bacterium. RNAcentral's name for it is "contains 16S-23S intergenic spacer region". The record is from RNAcentral. Lineage: Bacteria; Pseudomonadati; Chlamydiota; Chlamydiia; Parachlamydiales; Parachlamydiaceae.
UCCGGUUUGACACCGGCAGUCUCCUUAGAGUGCCCAACUGAAUGAUGGCAACUAAUGAUAAGGGUUGCGCUCGUUGCUGGACUUAACCAAACACCUCACGGCACGAGCUGACGACAGCCAUGCAGCACCUGUGCAGAUGCCCCGAAGGGACUCUCCAUCUCUGAAGUUGUCAUCUGCAUGUCAAGCCUGGGUAAGGUUCUUCGCGUUGCAUCGAAUUAAACCACAUGCUCCACUGCUUGUGCGGGUCCCCGUCAAUUCUUUUGAGUUUCACCCUUGCGAGCGUACUCCUCAGGCGGUAUACUUAUCGCGUUAGCUUCGGCACAAUCAGGGUUGAUUCCGAUUACACCAAGUAUACAUCGUUUACGGCAAGGACUAC